Molecule: ribosomal RNA, 300 nt
Filed under: Triticum aestivum (bread wheat)
Lineage: Eukaryota; Viridiplantae; Streptophyta; Magnoliopsida; Poales; Poaceae
Description: partial small subunit ribosomal RNA
Source: RNAcentral
AUGAAGACGAACACAUCUGUUUCUAGAAUGUUGACCUGUUUCUGUAUGCAAAAUGAACUAUUGGUACUUUAUAAAACUGAAAUAUGGCAAUGGUUGCUGACAAGGAAUUUGUGCUUAAUGGAUUUCUAUUUUCUCCCUCAUUUGAACCAUACUGAAGAUGAUACGGUCAAAUUAUUUGAGGUGGCUUAUCCUGGUUUAUUUUUGUCAUAUGAAGUGCCAAAUAUCAAUAUUCUACAUUUGCUGCCAAUAUUUUACAAAUUAGCUUCAUUUAUUUACUGGUGUGCGUCUUUUUUUUCUUGA